CGGGGCGUAGCUCAGCCUGGCUAGAGCGCCUGGUUUGGGACCAGGAGGUCGCAGGUUCGAAUCCUGUCGCCCCGA
This 75-nucleotide transfer RNA is filed under the name Pseudomonadota bacterium. Its description in RNAcentral is "tRNA-Pro". It matches the Rfam family "tRNA". From Rfam's summary of the family: Transfer RNA (tRNA) molecules are approximately 80 nucleotides in length. Their secondary structure includes four short double-helical elements and three loops (D, anti-codon, and T loops). Lineage: Bacteria; Pseudomonadati; Pseudomonadota. RNAcentral also lists the same sequence under 3 other names. The record is from RNAcentral.